UACGUAGGGUGCGAGCGUUGUCCGGAAUUAUUGGGCGUAAAGAGCGUGUCGGCGGUCCGGUAAGUCGGCUGUGAAAGUCCAGGGCUCAACCCUGGGAUGCCGGUCGAUACUGCCGGACUAGAGUUCGGGAGAGGCGAGUGGAAUUCCCGGUGUAGCGGUGAAAUGCGCAGAUAUCGGGAGGAACACCUAUGGCGAAGGCAGCUCGCUGGGACGUUACUGACGCUGAGACGCGAAAGCGUGGGGAGCAAACAGG
Molecule: ribosomal RNA, 253 nt
Filed under: uncultured bacterium
Lineage: Bacteria
Description: partial 16S ribosomal RNA
Rfam family: Bacterial small subunit ribosomal RNA
Source: RNAcentral